This 191-nucleotide non-coding RNA is filed under the name Ureibacillus chungkukjangi. Its description in RNAcentral is "Lysinibacillus chungkukjangi 6S / SsrS RNA". It matches the Rfam family "6S / SsrS RNA". Rfam says of the family: E. coli 6S RNA was the first non coding RNA to be sequenced, but its function was unknown until recently. Lineage: Bacteria; Bacillati; Bacillota; Bacilli; Caryophanales; Caryophanaceae. The record is from RNAcentral.
UUAAAGCUGCGUUGUACGUAGAAUAUUAAGUUUUAACCUUUAAGCUGUAAAAGGGAGUUUUAGAUCGAAGAUGGCAUGGCGAGCAUCACACUGCGGUGAAUGAUGAUACACAGAAAAUCUUUUGCAAACACCCACUUUGAGGAGUGGUGGUUAAAAACUUUCUAUAAUAAUUACGGCAGGGCGGCUACUCU